UACGGAGGGUGCAAGCGUUAUCCGGAUUCACUGGGUUUAAAGGGUGCGUAGGCGGGUAAGUAAGUCCGUGGUGAAAUCUCUGAGCUUAACUCAGAAACUGCCGUGGAUACUAUUUGCCUUGAAUAUUGUGGAGGUGAGCGGAAUAUGUCAUGUAGCGGUGAAAUGCUUAGAUAUUACUUAGAACACCAAUUGCGAAGGCAGGUUACUAUGUCUUAACUGACGCUGAUGGACGAAAGCGUGGGGAGCGAACAGG
RNAcentral lists this ribosomal RNA (253 nucleotides) under uncultured bacterium. RNAcentral describes it as "partial 16S ribosomal RNA". It matches the Rfam family "Bacterial small subunit ribosomal RNA", at positions 524 to 776 of the family's 1533-position model. The record is from RNAcentral.